UACGAAGGGGGCUAGCGUUGUUCGGAAUUACUGGGCGUAAAGCGCGCGCAGGCGGCUAUCCAAGUCAGUGAUGAAAGCCCGGAGCUCAACUCCGGAACUGCCAUUGAAACUGUUUAGCUUGAGGACGAGAGAGGUGAGUGGAAUUCCCAGUGUAGAGGUGAAAUUCGUAGAUAUUGGGAAGAACACCGGUGGCGAAGGCGGCUCACUGGCUCGUAUCUGACGCUCAGGCGCGACAGCGUGGGGGAUCAAACAGG
This 254-nucleotide ribosomal RNA is filed under the name uncultured bacterium. Its description in RNAcentral is "partial 16S ribosomal RNA". It matches the Rfam family "Bacterial small subunit ribosomal RNA", at positions 524 to 776 of the family's 1533-position model. The record is from RNAcentral.